AGCGAACGCUGGCGGCAGGCUUAACACAUGCAAGUCGAGCGGGCACUUUCGGGUGUCAGCGGCGGACGGGUGAGUAACGCGGGGGAACGUGCCCUCGGGUUCGGAAUAACUCAGGGAAACUUGAGCUAAUACCGGAUACGCCCUUUUGGGGAAAGGCUUGCUGCCGGAGGAUCGGCCCGCGUCUGAUUAGCUGGUUGGUGAGGUAACGGCUCACCAAGGCGACGAUCAGUAGCUGGUCUGAGAGGAUGAUCAGCCACACUGGGACUGAGACACGGCCCAGACUCCUACGGGAGGCAGCAGUGGGGAAUAUUGGACAAUGGGCGCAAGCCUGAUCCAGCCAUGCCGCGUGAGUGAUCAAGGCCUUAGGGUUGUAAAGCUCUUUUAUCCGGGACGAUAAUGACGGUACCGGAGGAAUAAGCCCCGGCUAACUUCGUG
This 435-nucleotide ribosomal RNA is filed under the name uncultured bacterium. Its description in RNAcentral is "partial 16S ribosomal RNA". It matches the Rfam family "Bacterial small subunit ribosomal RNA", at positions 29 to 507 of the family's 1533-position model. The record is from RNAcentral.